RNAcentral lists this ribosomal RNA (406 nucleotides) under uncultured bacterium. RNAcentral's name for it is "partial 16S ribosomal RNA". It matches the Rfam family "Bacterial small subunit ribosomal RNA", at positions 30 to 526 of the family's 1533-position model. The record is from RNAcentral.
AUUGAACGCCGGCGGCAGGCUAAACAUAUGCAAGUCGAACGAGUGGCGGACGGGCGAGUAAUGCCCGGGACACUGCUCGAUGGGGGGGGAUAACUACAGCAAACGGUAGCUAAUACCGCAUACUACCGCAUGUGCCCAGAUGGGAUUAGCUAGUAGUUGGGGUAACGGCGCACCUAGGCGAUGAUCCAUAGCUGGUCUGAGAGGAUGACCAACCACCCUGGAACUGAGACACGGUCCAGACUCCUACGGGAGGCAGCCGUGGGGAAUAUUCCUCAAUGGGCGCAAGCCUGAUGCAGCCAUGCCGCGUGUAUUAGAGAGGCCUUCGGGUUGUAAAGUACUUUCAGCGAGGAGGCGUUACUCGCAGAAGAAGCACCGACUAAGUCCGUGCCAGCAGCCGCGGUAAUUC